AGAUACUUGUGAAGAGACAGAGUUUGAGACAGGUGUUUUGGCAAAUUCCCUACCCUUUGCUGAUGGAGCAGCUGCAUAUCCAUAUGCAUAUAAGAAAAAGAGAAAAAAUUCUCAAAGUGAUGAAUCAUCCAACUUCAGAAGAGAGUUUCUGGAGGGGAGAAAGAAAAAAAACAAGGCCGUUGAAGAGUACAGGAAAAAGAUUUUACUCCUGGAAAAAAAGUGCAACAACAGAGUAAAGUCCAGAGGAGAGCAACAACAGCACUGGAAAUCUUGGCCAAAAAAUUUCAGGAAUCUACCCAGUCCCCCUCCCCAUUUUCCGUCUCUCCUCUUAUUAAAUUUAGUUGAUAGUUUAAUCUUUAUAAAU
Molecule: long non-coding RNA, 364 nt
Organism: Saccostrea cuccullata (small rock oyster)
Lineage: Eukaryota; Metazoa; Mollusca; Bivalvia; Ostreida; Ostreidae
Exons: 3
Source: RefSeq, a predicted model, not a curated record